Molecule: ribosomal RNA, 275 nt
Filed under: uncultured bacterium
Lineage: Bacteria
Description: partial 16S ribosomal RNA
Rfam family: Bacterial small subunit ribosomal RNA
Source: RNAcentral
AACGAACGCUGGCGGCAGGCCUAACACAUGCAAGUCGAACGCCCCGCAAGGGGAGUGGCAGACGGGUGAGUAACGCGUGGGAACGUACCCUUCGGUUCGGAAUAAUCCAGGGAAACUUGGACUAAUACCGGAUACGUGCGAGAGCAGAAAGAUUUAUCGCCGAAGGAUCGGCCCGCGUCCGAUUAGCUGGUUGGUGAGGUAACGGCUCACCAAGGCGACGAUCGGUAGCUGGUCUGAGAGGANGAUCAGCCACACUGGGACUGAGACACGGCCCA